Molecule: ribosomal RNA, 460 nt
Filed under: uncultured bacterium
Lineage: Bacteria
Description: partial 16S ribosomal RNA
Rfam family: Bacterial small subunit ribosomal RNA
Source: RNAcentral
CCUACGGGUGGCUGCAGUAAGGAAUAUUCGUCAAUGGGCGCGAGCCUGAACCAGCCAAGUAGCGUGAAGGAUGACUGCCCUCCGGGUUGUAAACUUCUUUUAUAAAGGAAUACAGUGAGGCAAGUGUGCCUUUUUGUAUGUACUUUAUGAAUAAGGAUAGGCUAACUCCGUGACAGCAGCCGCGGUAAUACGGAGGAUCCGAGCGUUGUCCGGAUUUAUUGGGUUUAAAGGGAGCGUAGAUGGGUUGUUAAGUCAGUUGUGAAAGUUUGCGGCUCAACCGUAAAAUUGCAAUUGAUACUGGCAGUCUUGAGUACAGUUGAGGUAGGCGGAAUUCGUGGUGUAGCGGUGAAAUGCUGAGAGAUCACGAAGAACUCCGAUGGCGAAGGCAGCUUACUAAUCUGCCACUGACAUUGAUGCUCGAAAGUGUGGGUAUCAAACAGGAUUAGAUACCCUGGUAGUC